Molecule: unclassified non-coding RNA, 433 nt
Filed under: soil metagenome
Description: partial contains 5.8S ribosomal RNA, internal transcribed spacer 2, and large subunit ribosomal RNA
Rfam family: 5.8S ribosomal RNA (bases 1-120)
Source: RNAcentral
GAUGAAGAACGCAGCGAAAUGCGAUACGGAAUGUGAAUUGCAGAAUUCAGUGAAUCAUCGAAUCUUUGAACGCAUAUUGCGCUCUCUGGUAUUCCGGAGAGCAUGCUUGUUUGAGUAUCAGUAAACACCUCAACUUCCAUAUCUUUUUUGAAAUGGGAGUUGGACUUGAGUGAUCCCAACGCUUUUCCUCACCGAAAAGUGGCGGGUUACUUGAAAUGCAGGUGCAGCUGGACUUUUCUCUGAGCUAUAAGCAUAUCUAUUUAGUCUGCCUAAAAAACAGAUUAUUACCUUUGCUGCAGCUAACAUAAAGGAGAUUAGUUCUUGUGCUGACUGAUGCAGGAUUCACAAAGACAGGCUUCGGCCGACUUUGUAAACUCGAUCUCAAAUCAAGUAAGACUACCCGCUGAACUUAAGCAUAUCAAUAAGCGGAGGA